GCGACUUUGGCGGCGCCACGAGAGCGGGCAGCGGAGGAGAUUGACGUGAGUGAAUUCAGAUAUAACUCAAGCUUGUUAGAGGGCUUUUUAAAAAUAAAAAGUUGAUUCCGUGCAAGAGAGCAAGUUACUGCUGCUUACCGUUCAGAGACUUACAGGUGCUUGCCUGCAUUGCAAUAAAGGACUCAUUUAUUGAGCAAGACUUAUAUUUAUCUCUUCAUUUUGGAGAGCCUAAUAAACUGUUAUUACAGUUUCUCUACUGACUUUCAAAAGUUUUGAAGUUUGAAAGACCUUUGCAAUUAAAACAGCAUGAGCACGGCCAGAACAGAGAACCCUGUUAUAAUGGGUCUGUCCAGUCAAAAUGGUCAGCUGAGAGGCCCUGUGAAACCCACUGGUGGCCCUGGAGGAGGGGGCACACAGACACAGCAACAGAUGAACCAGCUGAAAAACACCAACACAAUCAAUAAUGGCACUCAGCAGCAAGCACAGAGUAUGACCACCACUAUUAAGAGGAGAGCAUUCCCAUUGCUUUAUCUGGUAGGGAUAUCUUAGCUAGAGCAAAAAAUGGAACAGGCAAGAGCGGUGCCUACCUCAUUCCCUUACUUGAACGGCUAGACCUGAAGAAGGACAAUAUACAAGGUUAGUUGAAUAAAAGUUUGUUUUUAAACUAAAAAUAGGAGUUUCAGCCUUGGAGCUAUGUGUAGAAGAUACUCCUUUUUUUAGUCAGAAUUUACAUUAUCUAAAAUUUGUAUUCUUUCUUUUCAGGUUUUUUUUUUUUUUUAAUCCUGAUGAUGGUCUUUUAAAAAUGAUUCCCAGCUUUUUAGAGAUUUCUAGUUUUAAGAGUAUUUUUAUGUGAUACACACUUUUGACAGCAUUCCAGUGAGACAGGAAAAAUAAGUAUUAGUGCCCUAUAGGUAGGAAAGCUGAGGCUGGGGCACGGUGCCUCACAGCCUGUAAUCCCAGCACUUUGGGAGGUCAAAGUGGGUGGAUCCCCCGAGGCCAGAUAUUUAAGACCAGCCUGGCCAACAUUGCGAAACCCUGUCUCUACUAAAAAUGCAAAAAUUAGCUGGGCAUGGUGACGCACACCUGUAAUCCCAGCUACUCAGAAGUCUGAGGCACGAGAGUCGCUUGAACCCAGGAGGUGGAGGUUGCAGUGAGCCAAGAUUGUGCCACUGCACUCCAGCCUGGGUGACAGAGUGAGACUCAAAACUCAAAAAAAAAAA
This 1220-nucleotide small RNA is filed under the name Pongo abelii (Sumatran orangutan). RNAcentral's name for it is "retained intron". Lineage: Eukaryota; Metazoa; Chordata; Mammalia; Primates; Hominidae. The record is from RNAcentral.